This 350-nucleotide ribosomal RNA is filed under the name uncultured low G+C Gram-positive bacterium. RNAcentral's name for it is "bacterial SSU rRNA". It matches the Rfam family "Bacterial small subunit ribosomal RNA", at positions 1 to 347 of the family's 1533-position model. The record is from RNAcentral. Lineage: Bacteria; Bacillati; Bacillota.
UAGAGUUUGAUCCUGUCUCAGGACGAACGCUGGCGGCGUGCCUAAUACAUGCAAGUCGAGCGAACCAAAAGGAGCUUGCUCCUUUUGGUUAGCGGCGGACGGGUGAGUAACACGUGGGCAACCUGCCUGUAAGACUGGGAUAACUUCGGGAAACCGGAGCUAAUACCGGAUAAUCCUUUUCCUCUCAUGAGGAAAAGCUGAAAGUCGGUUUACGCUGACACUUACAGAUGGGCCCGCGGCGCAUUAGCUAGUUGGUGAGGUAACGGCUCACCAAGGCGACGAUGCGUAGCCGACCUGAGAGGGUGAUCGGCCACACUGGGACUGAGACACGGCCCAGACUCCUACGGGAG